CACGUUGGAACCUGCCCAAAGUGAGGAAUAAGCCACCGAAAGGUGGUCUAAUACUUCAUAAUAUCCAUCUCGUAUGGAUUAAAGCUUUAUGCGCUUUGGGAGGGGCCUGCGUAACAUUAGCUUGUUGGUGAGGUAAAAGCUCACCAAGGCUUCGAUGUUUAACUGGUUUGAGAGGAUGACCAGUCACACUGGGACUGAGAUACGGCCCAGACUCCUACGGGAGGCAGCAGUAAGGAAUCUUCCACAAUGGGACAACCCUGAUGGAGCAAUACCGCGUGCAGGAUGAAGCGUUUCGGCGUGUAAACUGCUUUUAUCACCGAAGAUUAUGACUGUAGGUGAAGAAUAAGGACCGGCUAACUACGUG
This 364-nucleotide ribosomal RNA is filed under the name uncultured bacterium. RNAcentral describes it as "bacterial SSU rRNA". It matches the Rfam family "Bacterial small subunit ribosomal RNA", at positions 114 to 507 of the family's 1533-position model. The record is from RNAcentral.